This 482-nucleotide ribosomal RNA is filed under the name uncultured bacterium. RNAcentral describes it as "bacterial SSU rRNA". It matches the Rfam family "Bacterial small subunit ribosomal RNA", at positions 30 to 507 of the family's 1533-position model. The record is from RNAcentral.
UGAACGCUAGCGGCAGGCUUAACACAUGCAAGUCGAGGGGCAGCACUUGUAGCAAUACAUGGUGGCGACCGGCGCAAGGGUGCGUAACGCGUGAGCAACAUGCCCGUAUCAGGGGGAUAAUCCAGGGAAACUUGGUCUAAUACCCCAUAGCAAUUAUUUGAGGCAUCUUAAAUAAUUUAAAGCUUUGGUGGAUACGGAUUGGCUCGCGUGACAUUAGUUAGAUGGUAAGGUAACGGCUUACCAUGGCUACGAUGUCUAGGGGUUCUGAGAGGAAGAUCCCCCACACUGGAACUGAGACACGGUCCAGACUCCUACGGGAGGCAGCAGUGAGGAAUAUUGGACAAUGGAUGGAAAUCUGAUCCAGCCAUGCCGCGUGCAGGAAGACGGCCCUAUGGGUUGUAAACUGCUUUUGUGUGGGAGCAAUAAGGUCUAUGCGUAGACUGAUGAGAGUACCAUACGAAUAAGCAUCGGCUAACUCCGUG